ACUGUUCGCCAGAGAACUACGAGCGAAAAACUUAAAACUCUAAGGACUUGGCGGUGCCCCAUACCAACCUAGAGGAGCCUGUCCUAUAAUCGAUAUUCCGCGCUAAACCUCACCCCCCCUUGUAAACCCAGCCUAUAUACCGCCGUCGACAGCUCACCUUAUGAAAGAAUCCAAGUGAGCAUAAUAGUUAACAACCAAUACGUCAGGUCAAGGUGUAGCACACGGGGGGACAGAGAUGGGCUACAUUUCCUACAAUAGGAAACACGCACGGCACGCUGAAACAUGCGCCCAAAGGUGGAUUUAGCAGUAAGACAGAUAAGAAGGCCUGUCUCAAAACUUGCUCUGGGGCGCGCACACACCGCCCGU
RNAcentral lists this ribosomal RNA (366 nucleotides) under Ablepharus budaki. RNAcentral describes it as "partial small subunit ribosomal RNA". It matches the Rfam family "Bacterial small subunit ribosomal RNA", at positions 864 to 1397 of the family's 1533-position model. The record is from RNAcentral. Lineage: Eukaryota; Metazoa; Chordata; Lepidosauria; Squamata; Scincidae.